GACGAACGCUGGCGGCGUGCUUAACACAUGCAAGUCGAACGGAAAGGCCCUGCUUUUGUGGGGUGCUCGAGUGGCGAACGGGUGAGUAACACGUGAGUAACCUGCCCUUGACUUUGGGAUAACUUCAGGAAACUGGGGCUAAUACCGGAUAGGAGCUCCUGCUGCAUGGUGGGGGUUGGAAAGUUUCGGCGGUUGGGGAUGGACUCGCGGCUUAUCAGCUUGUUGGUGGGGUAGUGGCUUACCAAGGCUUUGACGGGUAGCCGGCCUGCGAGGGUGACCGGCCACACUGGGACUGAGAUACGGCCCAGACUCCUACGGGAGGCAGCAGUGGGGAAUAUUGCACAAUGGGCGGAAGCCUGAUGCAGCAACGCCGCGUGCGGGAUGACGGCCUUCGGGUUGUAAACCGCUUUCGCCUGUGACGAAGCGUGAGUGACGGUAAUGGGUAAAGAAGCACCGGCUCACUACGUG
RNAcentral lists this ribosomal RNA (468 nucleotides) under uncultured bacterium. RNAcentral describes it as "partial 16S ribosomal RNA". It matches the Rfam family "Bacterial small subunit ribosomal RNA", at positions 28 to 507 of the family's 1533-position model. The record is from RNAcentral.